This 1438-nucleotide ribosomal RNA is filed under the name uncultured organism. Its description in RNAcentral is "16S ribosomal RNA". It matches the Rfam family "Bacterial small subunit ribosomal RNA". The record is from RNAcentral.
GCGGCGUGCUUAACACAUGCAAGUCGAACGGAAAGGCCCUGCUUUUGUGGGGUGCUCGAGUGGCGAACGGGUGAGUAACACGUGAGUAACCUGCCCUUGACUUUGGGAUAACUUCAGGAAACUGGGGCUAAUACCGGAUAGGAGCUCCUGCUGCAUGGUGGGGGUUGGAAAGUUUCGGCGGUUGGGGAUGGACUCGCGGCUUAUCAGCUUGUUGGUGGGGUAGUGGCUUACCAAGGCUUUGACGGGUAGCCGGCCUGAGAGGGUGACCGGCCACAUUGGGACUGAGAUACGGCCCAGACUCCUACGGGAGGCAGCAGUGGGGAAUAUUGCACAAUGGGCGGAAGCCUGAUGCAGCAACGCCGCGUGCGGGAUGACGGCCUUCGGGUUGUAAACCGCUUUCGCCUGUGACGAAGCGUGAGUGACGGUAAUGGGUAAAGAAGCACCGGCUAACUACGUGCCAGCAGCCGCGGUGAUACGUAGGGUGCGAGCGUUGUCCGGAUUUAUUGGGCGUAAAGGGCUCGUAGGUGGUUGAUCGCGUCGGAAGUGUAAUCUUGGGGCUUAACCCUGAGCGUGCUUUCGAUACGGGUUGACUUGAGGAAGGUAGGGGAGAAUGGAAUUCCUGGUGGAGCGGUGGAAUGCGCAGAUAUCAGGAGGAACACCAGUGGCGAAGGCGGUUCUCUGGGCCUUUCCUGACGCUGAGGAGCGAAAGCGUGGGGAGCGAACAGGCUUAGAUACCCUGGUAGUCCACGCUGUAAACGGUGGGUACUAGGUGUGGGGUCCAUUCCACGGGUUCCGUGCCGUAGCUAACGCUUUAAGUACCCCGCCUGGGGAGUACGGCCGCAAGGCUAAAACUCAAAGGAAUUGACGGGGCCCCGCACAAGCGGCGGAGCAUGCGGAUUAAUUCGAUGCAGCGCGUAGAACCUUACCUGGGUUUGACAUGGAUCGGGAGUGCUCAGAGAUGGGUGUGCCUCUUUUGGGGUCGGUUCACAGGUGGUGCAUGGCUGUCGUCAGCUCGUGUCGUGAGAUGUUGGGUUAAGUCCCGCAACGAGCGCAACCCUUGUUCACUGUUGCCAGCACGUUAUGGUGGGGACUCAGUGGAGACCGCCGGGGUCAACUCGGAGGAAGGUGGGGAUGACGUCAAGUCAUCAUGCCCCUUAUGUCCAGGGCUUCACGCAUGCUACAAUGGCUGGUACAGAGAGUGGCGAGCCUGUGAGGGUGAGCGAAUCUCGGAAAGCCGGUCUCAGUUCGGAUUGGGGUCUGCAACUCGACCUCAUGAAGUCGGAGUCGCUAGUAAUCGCAGAUCAGCAACGCUGCGGUGAAUACGUUCCCGGGGCUUGUACACACCGCCCGUCAAGUCAUGAAAGUUGGUAACACCCGAAGCCGGUGGCCUAACCGUUGUGGGGGAGCCGUCGAAGGUGGGACUGGUGAUUAGGACUAA